UUCCCGUACUUGGUGUUACUGCGAAGGGGGGACGGAGAAGGCUAUGUUGGCCGGGCGACGGUUGUCCCGGUUUAAGCGUGUAGGUGUGUGUUCCAGGUAAAUCCGGUUCACUUUAACACUGAGGCGUGACGACGAGGCACUACGGUGCUGAAGCAACAAAUGCCCUGCUUCCAGGAAAAGCCUCUAAGCAUCAGGUAACACGAAAUCGUACCCCAAACCGACACAGGUGGUCAGGUAGAGAAUACCAAGGCGCUUGAGAGAACUCGGGUGAAGGAACUAGGCAAAAUGGUGCCGUAACUUCGGGAGAAGGCACGCUGACACGUAGGUGAAGUGAUUUACUCAUGGAGCUGAAGUCAGUCGAAGAUACCAGCUGGCUGCAACUGUUUAUUAAAAACACAGCACUGUGCAAACACGAAAGUGGACGUAUACGGUGUGACGCCUGCCCGGUGCCGGAAGGUUAAUUGAUGGGGUCAGCGUAAGCGAAGCUCCUGAUCGAAGCCCCGGUAAACGGCGGCCGUAACUAUAACGGUCCUAAGGUAGCGAAAUUCCUUGUCGGGUAAGUUCCGACCUGCACGAAUGGCGUAAUGAUGGCCAGGCUGUCUCCACCCGAGACUCAGUGAAAUUGAACUCGCUGUGAAGAUGCAGUGUACCCGCGGCAAGACGGAAAGACCCCGUGAACCUUUACUAUAGCUUGACACUGAACAUUGAGCCUUGAUGUGUAGGAUAGGUGGGAGGCUUUGAAGUGUGGACGCCAGUCUGCAUGGAGCCGACCUUGAAAUACCACCCUUUAAUGUUUGAUGUUCUAACGUGGACCCGUAAUCCGGGUUGCGGACAGUGUCUGGUGGGUAGUUUGACUGGGGCGGUCUCCUCCUAAAGAGUAACGGAGGAGCACGAAGGUUGGCUAAUCCUGGUCGGACAUCAGGAGGUUAGUGCAAUGGCAUAAGCCAGCUUGACUGCGAGCGUGACGGCGCGAGCAGGUGCGAAAGCAGGUCAUAGUGAUCCGGUGGUUCUGAAUGGAAGGGCCAUCGCUCAACGGAUAAAAGGUACUCCGGGGAUAACAGGCUGAUACCGCCCAAGAGUUCAUAUCGACGGCGGUGUUUGGCACCUCGAUGUCGGCUCAUCACAUCCUGGGGCUGAAGUAGGUCCCAAGGGUAUGGCUGUUCGCCAUUUAAAGUGGUACGCGAGCUGGGUUUAGAACGUCGUGAGACAGUUCGGUCCCUAUCUGCCGUGGGCGCUGGAGAACUGAGGGGGGCUGCUCCUAGUACGAGAGGACCGGAGUGGACGCAUCACUGGUGUUCGGGUUGUCAUGCCAAUGGCACUGCCCGGUAGCUAAAUGCGGAAGAGAUAAGUGCUGAAAGCAUCUAAGCACGAAACUUGCCCCGA
RNAcentral lists this ribosomal RNA (1383 nucleotides) under Salmonella enterica. RNAcentral describes it as "partial 23S ribosomal RNA". It matches the Rfam family "Bacterial large subunit ribosomal RNA", at positions 1436 to 2802 of the family's 2925-position model. Lineage: Bacteria; Pseudomonadati; Pseudomonadota; Gammaproteobacteria; Enterobacterales; Enterobacteriaceae. The record is from RNAcentral.